CACUAAAAUCUGUCACCUUUAUUUUUUAUAUCAUUGAUAGACAUUUUGGACCAUAUCCUCAGCUGGUGUGAAUUGCCACAGCAACAUUGGCUUCAAUGAAGUAUCUAGCCUACUACCUCCAAGAAAGAGUUACAUUGUGGAAUGGCCAGACAACGUUGGCCAACAAGCAUUGCAUGACACUAUGAGGCUUCACUAUGAAAGUUCUGCACAGCUCUAGUCACCAGUUUACAAAUGGAGAUGAAUAUUCAGUGGAGUACAGGAGUAUAUCAAGAAUUCACCAGUGACUGUGACCUUACACUCACUAGCUAACUAGUUAUUGCAAAAUAUUUUCCCCUUCCUUGGAAGGAUUACAGACUUUGAUAUCUUGGAUUUUCUAUAUUUUCAGUGUGGAAAUAAAUAGACAUGAAGUGCUUUUAUAACUGGAAGGCAAAGUCAUUACAGAUGACUACAAAUGUGAGGAAUAUUCUAACGUGUUGCAACUUGACGUCUAAAUCAUGAUUUGAGGACUU
Molecule: long non-coding RNA, 509 nt
Filed under: Chrysemys picta bellii (western painted turtle)
Lineage: Eukaryota; Metazoa; Chordata; Testudines; Emydidae
Description: lncRNA (ENSCPBG00000021053.1)
Source: RNAcentral